Molecule: long non-coding RNA, 311 nt
Filed under: Manacus vitellinus (golden-collared manakin)
Lineage: Eukaryota; Metazoa; Chordata; Aves; Passeriformes; Pipridae
Description: lncRNA (ENSMVIG00005012992.1)
Source: RNAcentral
CUCACAGCUGAGUUUGGCUCCUGUACCUGAGCAUCAGGAGUGCUCACCAUGGUUGAAAGAGCCAGAAUCACUCUCUGGCCAGUCCUCGAGGCCUCUUCUGGCUUUGGUUUUGCUUCCCAUUAAGUUUCUUAGUUCAGGAGUGAAGAACAGGAGAAAAGAGAAAGCUGAAAUAUAUAGCUGUGAAAUAUGGCUUGCCGUGUCAACUAGCCAGUGCCUGCAGCCUAAAAGGAAUUUUGAGCACUGGCCUGCCAACCCCUCUAACUGCUGAGGCAACAAAUAAAGAAAACUCACUGCUGGAGGGCCCUGUGACU